AUACUCACCUGGCAGGGGAGACACCAUGAUUACGAUUGUGGUUUUCCCAGAACAAGGCUAAUCCACACUGCACUCCAGAUGUGCUGACCCCUAGGAUUUCCCCAAACAUGGGAAACUUGACUGCAUAAUCUUGGCAGUGGGGGACUGCAUUCAUGCUCUUCCCUG
Molecule: small nuclear RNA, 165 nt
Organism: Pteronotus mesoamericanus
Lineage: Eukaryota; Metazoa; Chordata; Mammalia; Chiroptera; Mormoopidae
Product: U1 spliceosomal RNA
Exons: 1
Source: RefSeq, a predicted model, not a curated record